CCAGCCAUGCCGCGUGUGUGAAGAAGGUCUUCGGAUUGUAAAGCACUUUAAGUUGGGAGGAAGGGCAGUAAGCGAAUACCUUGCUGUUUUGACGUUACCGACAGAAUAAGCACCGGCUAACUCUGUGCCAGCAGCCGCGGUAAUACAGAGGGUGCAAGCGUUAAUCGGAAUUACUGGGCGUAAAGCGCGCGUAGGUGGUUCGUUAAGUUGGAUGUGAAAUCCCCGGGCUCAACCUGGGAACUGCAUCCAAAACUGGCGAGCUAGAGUAGGGCAGAGGGUGGUGGAAUUUCCUGUGUAGCGGUGAAAUGCGUAGAUAUAGGAAGGAACACCAGUGGCGAAGGCGACCACCU
Molecule: ribosomal RNA, 350 nt
Filed under: Pseudomonas japonica
Lineage: Bacteria; Pseudomonadati; Pseudomonadota; Gammaproteobacteria; Pseudomonadales; Pseudomonadaceae
Description: bacterial SSU rRNA
Rfam family: Bacterial small subunit ribosomal RNA
Source: RNAcentral